RNAcentral lists this ribosomal RNA (666 nucleotides) under uncultured Micromonosporaceae bacterium. RNAcentral's name for it is "bacterial SSU rRNA". It matches the Rfam family "Bacterial small subunit ribosomal RNA", at positions 136 to 816 of the family's 1533-position model. Lineage: Bacteria; Bacillati; Actinomycetota; Actinomycetes; Micromonosporales; Micromonosporaceae. The record is from RNAcentral.
CUUUGGGAUAACCCUCGGAAACGGGGGCUAAUACCGAAUAUUCAUGUGCUGCCGCAUGGUGGUGGGUGGAAAGUUUUUCGGCUUGGGAUGGGCUCGCGGCCUAUCAGCUUGUGGGUGGGGUGAUGGCCUACCAAGGCGACGACGGGUAGCCGGCCUGAGAGGGCGACCGGCCACACUGGGACUGAGACACGGCCCAGACUCCUACGGGAGGCAGCAGUGGGGAAUAUUGCACAAUGGGCGGAAGCCUGAUGCAGCGACGCCGCGUGAGGGAUGACGGCCUUCGGGUUGUAAACCUCUUUCAGCAGGGACGAAGCGUGAGUGACGGUACCUGCUGGAGAAGCGCCGGCCAACUACGUGCCAGCAGCCGCGGUAAGACGUAGGGCGCAAGCGUUGUCCGGAUUUAUUGGGCGUAAAGAGCUCGUAGGCGGUUUGUCGCGUCGGCUGUGAAAUCCCGUGGCUCAACUGCGGGUCUGCAGCUGAUACGGGCAGGCUAGAGUUCGGUAGGGGAGACUGGAAUUCCUGGUGUAGCGGUGAAAUGCGCAGAUAUCAGGAGGAACACCGGUGGCGAAGGCGGGUCUCUGGGCCGAUACUGACGCUGAGGAGCGAAAGCGUGGGGAGCGAACAGGAUUAGAUACCCUGGUAGUCCACGCUGUAAACGUUGGGCGC